Molecule: ribosomal RNA, 494 nt
Filed under: uncultured bacterium
Lineage: Bacteria
Description: partial 16S ribosomal RNA
Rfam family: Bacterial small subunit ribosomal RNA
Source: RNAcentral
GACGAACGCUGGCGGCGUGCUUAACACAUGCAAGUCGAACGGUGAAGCGCCUUCCUUUUUGGUGGGUGUGGAUGAGUGGCGAACGGGUGAGUAACACGUGAGUAACCUGCCCCCUUCUUCUGGAUAACCGCAUGAAAGUGUGGCUAAUACGGGAUAUUCUGGGUCUGUCGCAUGAUGGGUCUGGGAAAGAUAUUGUUUCGGUGGGGGAUGGGCUCGCGGCCUAUCAGCUUGUUGGUGGGGUGAUGGCCUACCAAGGCGGUGACGGGUAGCCGGCCUGAGAGGGUGGACGGUCACACUGGGACUGAGACACGGCCAAGACUCGUACGGGAGGCAGCAGGGGGGAAUAUUGCACAAUGGGCGCAAGCCUGAUGCAGCGCCGCCGCGUGAGGGAUGGAGGCCUUCGGGUUGUGAACCGCUUUCGCCAGUGAAGCAGGCCUGCCUCGUUUGUGGGUGGGUUGACGGUAGCUGGAGAAGAAGCGCCGGCUAACUACGUG